CCUACGGGGGGCUGCAGUGGGGAAUAUUGGACAAUGGGGGCAACCCUGAUCCAGCCAUGCCGCGUGUGUGAAGAAGGCCCUCGGGUUGUAAAGCACUUUCAGUGAGGAAGAACGCCUGGUGGUUAAUACCCAUCAGGAAAGACAUCACUCACAGAAGAAGCACCGGCUAACUCCGUGCCAGCAGCCGCGGUAAUACGGAGGGUGCGAGCGUUAAUCGGAAUUACUGGGCGUAAAGCGCGCGUUGGUGGCUUGAUAAGCCGGUUGUGAAAGCCCCGGGCUCAACCUGGGAACGGCAUCCGGAACUGUCAAGCUAGAGUGCAGGAGAGGAAGGUAGAAUUCCCGGUGUAGCGGUGAAAUGCGUAGAGAUCGGGAGGAAUACCAGUGGCGAAGGCGGCCUUCUGGACUGACACUGACACUGAGGUGCGAAAGCGUGGGUAGCAAACAGGAUUAGAUACCCUUGUAGUC
Molecule: ribosomal RNA, 465 nt
Filed under: Vreelandella stevensii
Lineage: Bacteria; Pseudomonadati; Pseudomonadota; Gammaproteobacteria; Oceanospirillales; Halomonadaceae
Description: partial 16S ribosomal RNA
Rfam family: Bacterial small subunit ribosomal RNA
Source: RNAcentral